AGUAUGCCAAGGAUUCUUUUAUUGUAACCAGAGGAGAAUGUGUAUCAGUUUGCUCGCAGUAACCAGAUAUUCUGGCAUAAGUGUCCUGAACCUUGGGGUAACCUCCAAUUCUUAUAUCUCCUUCAAUGAUACCACUAGUUUUACGUCCAGAGAGGACAUCCAAAAGUGUUGUUUUCCCAGCUCCAGUAACACCCACUAUAGCUGUCAAAAUUCCUGGCCUAAAUGAUCCUGUAAUAUCUUGAAGAAGCUGUAACCUUUUCUGUUCAAAACCUUACUCUUUCAUUUUCUGCAUGAUAUAUUGAAGAUUGAUUAGUUAUGAGUACAAGCCAUAUCCAACAGCCUUGGAAUUAAUUGACGACUUAAAAAAUGACUACCUUGGGAGUAUUCACAAAAUAUUGAACAUUCUCGAACGUUAUAAUCAUGGGCUCAAAAGGUAAGACCACCACUGUUGAAUAAUCAAAUCGCUUUUAAUGUUCCAUAAUGUAAGAAAAAUAUGAGCUCAAUAAUGUUACCCACUGCUUGCAUCCUUCAAUUUUAUCAAGCAGUGGAUGAAUUACUUCUCUUUUACCUGUGUAAAAUUAGUUCCUCACCUAUUUGUUUUGCUUCCUCAGGAGCUUUUGGAGAAUCAACAGGAGGCCUUAUGCUUUCAUUAGAUAAUUUUCUCAAACUUCUUUCCACUCUUAGUUUGGAGAGCCUUUCUUGUGAUAUAAUAGUCCGUGAUCUUCCUGGAGCUGUGCAAAUAUAUUUUUCAUCAGAUGCAGGUUAGUACGCAGAAAAUUAAUUACUUUUGUAUCUUUAUAUGUUUCCUUCUCUUAUUAUGCACGUGUGUGAGGAACUUACCCUUUAAACAACUUAAUGCAAAAGUGAAUCCAAUAUUAAGAACUAUCCAAAAUCCUACUAAUGCUCCUAUUGAUACCCAAUAAAAGUUUGCACUAUAAUUUAGUCCGUGGUAUGUUAGUACUUGUUGGCCUAUUGUAGCAUUUGAAGACGAGACCUGUAAAAGAAUGAUAUAUGAGAAUUUACCAAUGUAUCGAAAGCAAGUAGGACGUGCAUAAAUAUAUUAGAGGGUAAAUCGGUUCUGGUACCACCUUUUGCCAUCUUGGAGCAAGGAAUUCGUUUAUUGAAACACUGAUCUCGGCAUAAGUAAUUGGAGAAAGCCAAAAGCCCCAGUACAGCCAAGCAGGCAAAGAGGCUGCGACGAGGAGGGGCUAUUAGUUCUCGGUAAAGAAUUGUUUACUUCUUUUAGUAGAAAAGUCCUAUAAUAAGUUGCCUUACAUCGUGGAAUUAUGAAGCCACCAAAUAAAAACAUUACUAGCAUGGAGAAAAGACUACAAGACACAGCAAAAGAUGGAUUUCGCAACAUGGAUGCCAGGAAACGGAAUGAUGAUAUAGAUACUUGAUGUAAAACGAAAAGGAGGAGUAAUUGGCAAAGAAACCUGUGCAUCCGUGUAUAACAUCAGUACUUGGGAUGGAUCACAACAUUUUUUUUACAAAGAAAAGACGAGUUUUAUGUAUAACACACCUUUCGGGUUCAGGAGUAUAGCCAAUAACAUAAUAUGUAAGGACUGUCCACAGAAAAGCAUCUAGAAAUGAAAAUGGAAUCUUUAGAAUGGCAGCUGGAAUAGUGUAAGUCCAUGCAGGGUAAAAAUAGUAAUCUCUUUGCUUGUAGAAGACCGGAAGCCGAGAAAAAGUCAUGGAUACCUCAGAGAUUCCAUUGGUCACCAGUCUAACAAGGGCAUAAAAUAGAGAUCCCAUGUAAUAAUUUGCAUGGACAUCAUCCAUUUUUGUCCGCGUACGUAAUCAUUGUUAUAAUUGCAGUGACCACAAGCUGCAUAAACAUAACAACCAGGCCAAUGAAAAACACUUUUAAAUUUCCUUGACCAUACUUGUCAGAAAAAUAAAACCCUCAGCUCAUCAGACACGAAUGCAUUCAUGAAAUUCUUGUCGCAACUAAUCAGUACCUGUGCAGAUUUGAAUACAUGAACAAAUGAGUUACGCUUCAUAAGAAGCCAUUCUCUUGCCACGCAUGCCUUUAGUAGCUCCCAGUUUCUGACAGAGCGAGUGUUAAGUGACAAAGUGUUUUUCUGGAGCUCAAUUUUAUCAAUAGGCUGAGAGAUUUCUUUAUCCAGCUUUUGUCCCAAAUGAAACUCCUUGAAUUUUAUUUCAAACUCUUCAACAGAAACGUAAAUGUAAUGUUGGUCUUUACAGCUUGAUCCUUUUUGGAAACUACCUGUAGAAAAUAGAUGCUUGAGGUAAAUUAGUGAGACGACUAUUUUUGGACAUUUUAUUGUAGAAAUCAGUCAGGGAUACGUCACAUACUUCUUGGAGGAAGUCCGCAAUGCCUUUUCUUGGUGGACACCUGAAGCCACAAUUCUCAAAGAAUUCUAAAACAUUCUCUCGAGGUCCAUGGUAUACAGUCUUACCUUCAGCCAUCAAGAUGAUGUCGUCAAAGAGAUCAAAAGUCUCUGGAGCUGGCUGAAGUAGUGACAUCAAAAUGGUGGAUCCUGUAAUGUGAGCCAACUGCUGAAGACAGGUAACAAUCUGAAAAGUGGUUGAACUAUCUAAGCCAUUCGAUAUUUCAUCCAUAAGAAGAACUUUUGCUGGACCAAUUAUCAUCUCCCCUGGCACUUGAAACAUACAGGAAAGUUAUUAUGUUGGAAUUAAUGAUAUAUCGUUAGUUGUAAAGUGAACACUACAUAUAGUUAAUCCCAUAGGUUUCAACAUAUAAGAGACUUCAACUAAGAGCUAUUUAACCUUCGUAAAAUAGAAAUUAUAUGCUUAAAAGUUAUUAAUAUACACUUAAAAAUAAGUAUCAUUUGAUUAGAACCUGUUGUUAGCCUUUUCUUUUGACCACCUGAUAUUCCUCUUCUCAUUGCAUCUCCAACAACUGUAUCAGCGCAGUUAUCCAGUCCAAGUAUCUGAAUGGUCCCAUAAGUUGAUAUAAGAAUUGAGUAUUUUUUUUAAUAUUUCAACAUGGCGGUUGAAGGCGGUUAUUGUUUUCUUUGUUGAAGUUAAUUACCUUCAAAAUAUAAUCGGUCUGAAGAGUACUUUUUAACCCUUCAAUAGCAACUUCCUGUUAUAGUUCUUGAAUGAAAACAAUUAGUAGGAGAAUUAAGCUCUGUUCAACUGGUUUCUGCAGGAUAUAGUUUACCUUCAUAUAGGUGUCAAUAUCUGGUUCAGGAGAUACCCCAGCUUGUUUCUCCCUUCUGCUUACUUCCUCCAUAAUUUCUUUAAUACAUAACAGGAUCAACUAUAGGAUCAGUAUAAACUGUAAAAAUUGUUAUCAUGAGUGUAAUUUAGGCAACAAAGGUUACCUGCUCUGUUUCCAAUGCCCUGGCAGCGUGCUGCAAAAUUGAGUGUUUCUCUUACUGUGAUUUCAGAAAUGUGCUGGUCAUUUUGGCUAAUAUAAGCUGAUGUCUUCGGUGGAACAAAUUCAUUUAACUUGUAACCAUUGUAAAAGAUGUCACCAGUGACCUAAUAUGAGAUUCACAAAAACAAGAAUCAACAACUGUCCGUGUAUUCAGAAGGAAAGCGCUUCAGUGGACCUAAAGUUUGCACCUAGUGAUGUAUGGUUGUUUUGAAAUUGAUUGAAAAGUUUGGUUCCAUUGUUUCUUAAAGAUGUGAUAGGCCACGUCAUCAGGUUCAUUUAGCACUACUCUACAUUCCUUUUUUCUUUCUUUUGGUCUGUGUAGUAUCGCUUUAUGAAGAAAGAAUGACAAAGUUAUAAUUAUACAAGUUAGUUUUAUCCUUAAAAUAAAUACGCAAGUUUUCUUGAUCUAUUUUUCCUUUUUUGUUUGUUGCGACACAUUUGCAAAUUGCAAUGCUCAACUGUCUUGUAAAUUUUGUCUCAUGAUUGAAAAGUUGGAUGUCUUUUUCUCCCCCUCUUCUCACAGGAGCUUAUAAAAGAGGAGGGGAGAACCUUGAGAUUUUGGUCAAGUUUCCCUGCAAGUGCCAACAAUAAAGUGGUUUUCCCACAUUCCGGAUGCCCAAGUAACAGCGUCAUCCUGCCAAAGAAGUUUUUGCGUGUAAGUCUUUUUGUAGUUAAGGUAUUCACCCUUUGACAACAGAAAAUGAGUAACCUUGAAGGCUUGAUGAUGCCUCGGACG
Molecule: long non-coding RNA, 4106 nt
Filed under: Panax ginseng (ginseng)
Lineage: Eukaryota; Viridiplantae; Streptophyta; Magnoliopsida; Apiales; Araliaceae
Description: long non-coding RNA (PGIN_LNC010129)
Source: RNAcentral